Molecule: ribosomal RNA, 494 nt
Filed under: uncultured bacterium
Lineage: Bacteria
Description: partial 16S ribosomal RNA
Rfam family: Bacterial small subunit ribosomal RNA
Source: RNAcentral
GACGGACGCUGGCGGCGUGCUUAACACAUGCAAGUCGAACGGUGAAGCGCCUUCCUUUUUGGUGGGUGUGGAUGAGUGGCGAACGGGUGAGUAACACGUGAGUAACCUGCCCCCUUCUUCUGGAUAACCGCAUGAAAGUGUGGCUAAUACGGGAUAUUCUGGGUCUGUCGCAUGAUGGGUCUGGGAAAGAUAUUGUUUCGGUGGGGGAUGGGCUCGCGGCCUAUCAGCUUGUUGGUGGGGUGAUGGCCUACCAAGGCGGUGACGGGUAGCCGGCCUGAGAGGGUGGACGGUCACACUGGGACUGAGACACGGCCCAGACUCCUACGGGAGGCAGCAGUGGGGAAUAUUGCACAAUGGGCGCAAGCCUGAUGCAGCGACGCCGCGUGAGGGAUGGAGGCCUGCGGGUUGUGAACCUCUUUCGCCAGUGAAGCAGGCCUGCCUCGUUUGUGGGUGGGUUGACGGUAGCUGGAGAAGAAGCGCCGGCUAACUACGUG